This 636-nucleotide ribosomal RNA is filed under the name uncultured Nonomuraea sp. Its description in RNAcentral is "bacterial SSU rRNA". It matches the Rfam family "Bacterial small subunit ribosomal RNA", at positions 232 to 885 of the family's 1533-position model. Lineage: Bacteria; Bacillati; Actinomycetota; Actinomycetes; Streptosporangiales; Streptosporangiaceae. The record is from RNAcentral.
CGCGGCCUAUCAGCUUGUUGGUGGGGUAGUGGCCUACCAAGGCGACGACGGGUAGCCGGCCUGAGAGGGCGACCGGCCACACUGGGACUGAGACACGGCCCAGACUCCUACGGGAGGCAGCAGUGGGAAUAUUGCGCAAUGGGCGGAAGCCUGACGCAGCGACGCCGCGUGGGGGAUGACGGCCUUCGGGUUGUAAACCUCUUUCAGCAGGGACGAAGUUGACGUGUACCUGCAGAAGAAGCGCCGGCUAACUACGUGCAGCAGCCGCGGUAAUACGUAGGGCGCAAGCGUUGUCCGGAAUUAUUGGGCGUAAAGAGCUCCUAGGUGGCUGGUCGCGUCUGGCGUGAAAGCCCGCAGCUUAACUGCGGGUCUGCGGCGGAUACGGGCCGGCUAGAGGUAGGUAGGGGCAAGUGGAAUUCCUGGUGUAGCGGUGAAAUGCGCAGAUAUCAGGAGGAACACCGGUGGCGAAGGCGGCUUGCUGGGCCUUACCUGACGCUGAGGAGCGAAAGCGUGGGGAGCGAACAGGAUUAGAUACCCUGGUAGUCCACGCUGUAAACGUUGGGCGCUAGGUGUGGGGAUCUUCCACGAUCUCCGUGCCGGAGCUAACGCAUUAAGCGCCCCGCCUGGGGAGUACGG